AACGAGGCCGACCUGCGGCUGAGUUACCUGCGGAAGGAUCAUUACAAGUGACCCCGGUCUAACCACCGGGAUGUUCAUAACCCUUUGUUGUCCGACUCUGUUGCCUCCGGGGCGACCCCGCCUUCGGGCGGGGGCUCCGGGUGGACACUUCAAACUCUUGCGUAACUUUGCAGUCUGAGUAAACUUAAUUAAUAAAUUAAAACUUUCAACAACGGAUCU
Molecule: unclassified non-coding RNA, 219 nt
Filed under: soil metagenome
Description: partial contains 5.8S ribosomal RNA, internal transcribed spacer 2, and large subunit ribosomal RNA
Source: RNAcentral